GAUUAAUAAUGUUGAUCGAACUUUGACAUUAAUAAUCUCGAAAUCUCAGUCUCGCAAUGCACACACAAAAUAAAACAGAGAGCCAACUCUGGAAACUAAUACAAACACUGUCCUGAUAGAAGAAUUUAUGAAUACAGUGCAUCCCGCCAUGGGGAAAACGCAGACUUAUAUUAACAUCUUCUUCCAUCCUUCAGACCAUUUUUAAUGUGUAAAGGAAACCCUUCUGAAGCCAAACCAAAUGAGCUUCAAUAAUUUUUACACUGCUCAAAACAGUAAAGAGAAGAAUGCUAUCUGUUAGUCCUGAACAACUUUCAACAAGUGACCGACCAUGUGAAGGAAAAGUGAAAAAAAAAAAGAAAAGAAAAGAGGACUACAACUUCCCUGAAUUGUGGAGGAGGAAGUAAGGCGGACUAGGAUGGUGGGGUAGGUGGUGAAAUCCCAAAGUGAUGACAUAAAGCAAGCAAGGCGGCAUCCAUGCUGGUAACAUGAGUGGUGAGGGUCAUUAUGGCAGCCUUGAGACGGUCUAGAUGCUCCUCUAUCGAGCGAGAUGAGGAAGGGCCAGGAGCAAUGGACGUGGAUGGGGUAGCCGUGCCCGUGGUUGGAUUGCCACGCUGCUGUAAAAUAGGACCUGUAGGAAUAAACGAGAAACUACCAUCCUCUUCUUGAUAGAUUAGACCCAUACUCUUCAAACACUUAAGAUCUAAGGGCAUCAUAUCACAGGCCAAAUGCAAAUGAACAGCACGCAAGUCAUCCAAAUCAAUCAAGUUCUCAUUAACAGCCAAUUGGGUAAUAAAAGGGCCCAAAAUCAAGGGCCUGUGAAAGGAAAUAACACUUGCGAGCUGUGUAGCAAACUAAAAGCCCAAAUUGACCUUUUUACCAUUCAUCAUACACCACAGAAAAAAUAAUUUAGCUUUAGAAAAAAUGGUAGAACUGUCCUUUCAACCAGAAACUGAAAAAGCAAGGAAUCGGUGUACAUAAUGCAAGGCAACAUCAAGAAUUAAGUUAACUUUAGUUGUGCUGGGGUUAAAAGUGGCAGUGGGAUCCCCAAUCAGCUCUCUAUAAGGCUUAAUCGGCAAAAAAUCAUGAGGGUAAUCACAUAAAGGUGCAGAAUACGCAUCAUGACUAAAGGAACCCCCAUCCACAAAACCUAAGGCAACAUUAAAUUCAAGGAUGGACAAAGAAAAAACCAUACCUAAUAAUAUGAAAGUAAUCAAAUCUGGUGUAUGUGCAUAAAAAAUUUCAGGUUUUGUAAAUGUAAAAGUAGCAUAAAAUUCUUGAACUAACUCCACAUAAGCAGGACAAUUAACACUCAUAUAGCUCAACCAACUAAUUUCAGCAAACAGUCUCAUCACAUUAGCCUCAAUCCCUAAGCUACGCAAAGUAUCAAGGGGAAUAUACUUAUAAGGUACUACUGAAGCAGGUUAUACCUUGUCUGAUAGGCUUCGUCCUCGAAUUGCAGGGUACCUUGAACUCCUAUUGGUGGAAUUGAGUGCCUCGUUUUAUUGAGUUGAGAUUGAUUCUUCGGCUUUGGGGCUACCUCAUCUUCGUCAGAGGCAUCAGAGGGCUGCUCUGUGUCAUUUUCUGGAGGUGAGGAAGGUUGGUGCUCUAUUUUUAGUGGUGGAGGUGAAGAAGCUACCUUUCUUUUGCCUCUAACGGUGGAUUUGGACUUGGGUGUGAAACUCGCCGGUGUUGAUUGAUUCGCUGGUUCACGAGAUUUAGUGCGUGGAGGUGAAGUGCAAUGCGACAGAGUUGGCGUUGGAUCUAAUGGCGACAGGGUAGAUCUGUUCCUAGUGGUUUGUGAUGACGUCGGAUUUGAGGGUCCAUAAUCUGGUGUUGGUGAUGUGAUCUUAAGAUCUGUCAGAUCGGUGGUGUAUUUGAGGUGGAUGAUCAGCUACGAGGAGGAAGAGGGGGCCGGCGCUACUGACGUGUCUUGCGUUGGGGCUUAGUUGGCGUCGGAUGGUACUAGGUUGCGAUGGCGAUGGAGAUAUGGGUGACGGCGGGGGACGCAUUUGAGAGGCAUGGUGGUGAGGUUGGCAGUGGAGAUAUGGUGACGGUGAUGGAGAAUGGGGGAAGAUGGAGGGAUAGUAAAAGGUAUAAAGUAAUUCUACUUUUUGACUUUUAUUUGGAAGGUAAAUAUAGGGUGGGAUUGGGUACAUGGUAAAUAUAAAAAAAAAGUAUAUUUUGAAAGAUUUAUCUUUUUACCAUGAACGGACAUAUGUAACCUUGCCACCCUAACCUUAAAAAAUCAGAACAAAU
Molecule: unclassified non-coding RNA, 2256 nt
Filed under: Hevea brasiliensis (rubber tree)
Lineage: Eukaryota; Viridiplantae; Streptophyta; Magnoliopsida; Malpighiales; Euphorbiaceae
Source: RNAcentral